AGACACACCUGAUGAUUUAUUAUUUUCAGUAGCUUAUUUGUGAAUAUGAAAAAAUGUCUUUCUUGAUAUUCACCAAAUGAUAUAAAUGCCUUUACUCUCCAGCUCUUCAUUUUUUCUGCUCACUGGUGCUUUGAAUGCAGUGGAAAGGCAUUUCUGGUCUCCAUGGCUUCUCUUAAAUGCACGCAGAGAAGGGAACAUAAUAGAGAUGAUGAGCCCUAGCAAAUUAGCCAACUGCAAUCUCUUCUUGUUCAGUUAACGCGCCUGUACAGCCAGAUACCAGCCACGGGAGCAAAGGGCUGUGAGAGGAGAUUUGGAGCCCAAGUAUAGGAGUAGAGAAGCUCUCAGCUGUUUGUAGCAUGUCUAGAAGCA
This is a long non-coding RNA of Cygnus olor (mute swan), 369 nucleotides long. RefSeq lists it as uncharacterized. The record is from RefSeq and is a predicted model, not a curated record. The transcript has 3 exons. Lineage: Eukaryota; Metazoa; Chordata; Aves; Anseriformes; Anatidae.